This 1441-nucleotide ribosomal RNA is filed under the name uncultured organism. RNAcentral describes it as "16S ribosomal RNA". It matches the Rfam family "Bacterial small subunit ribosomal RNA". The record is from RNAcentral.
GAACGCUGGCGGCGUGCUUAACACAUGCAAGUCGAACGGAAAGGCCCUGCUUUUGUGGGGUGCUCGAGUGGCGAACGGGUGAGUAACACGUGAGUAACCUGCCCUUGACUUUGGGAUAACUUCAGGAAACUGGGGCUAAUACCGGAUAGGAGCUCCUGCUGCAUGGUGGGGGUUGGAAAGUUUCGGCGGUUGGGGAUGGACUCGCGGCUUAUCAGCUUGUUGGUGGGGUAGUGGCUUACCAAGGCUUUGACGGGUAGCCGGCCUGAGAGGGUGACCGGCCACAUUGGGACUGAGAUACGGCCCAGACUCCUACGGGAGGCAGCAGUGGGGAAUAUUGCACAAUGGGCGGAAGCCUGAUGCAGCAACGUCGCGUGCGGGAUGACGGCCUUCGGGUUGUAAACCGCUUUCGCCUGUGACGAAGCGUGAGUGACGGUAAUGGGUAAAGAAGCACCGGCUAACUACGUGCCAGCAGCCGCGGUGAUACGUAGGGUGCGAGCGUUGUCCGGAUUUAUUGGGCGUAAAGGGCUCGUAGGUGGUUGAUCGCGUCGGAAGUGUAAUCUUGGGGCUUAACCCUGAGCGUGCUUUCGAUACGGGUUGACUUGAGGAAGGUAGGGGAGAAUGGAAUUCCUGGUGGAGCGGUGGAAUGCGCAGAUAUCAGGAGGAACACCAGUGGCGAAGGCGGUUCUCUGGGCCUUUCCUGACGCUGAGGAGCGAAAGCGUGGGGAGCGAACAGGCUUAGAUACCCUGGUAGUCCACGCUGUAAACGGUGGGUACUAGGUGUGGGGUCCAUUCCACGGGUUCCGUGCCGUAGCUAACGCUUUAAGUACCCCGCCUGGGGAGUACGGCCGCAAGGCUAAAACUCAAAGGAAUUGACGGGGCCCCGCACAAGCGGCGGAGCAUGCGGAUUAAUUCGAUGCAACGCGUAGAACCUUACCUGGGUUUGACAUGGAUCGGGAGUGCUCAGAGAUGGGUGUGCCUCUUUUGGGGUCGGUUCACAGGUGGUGCAUGGCUGUCGUCAGCUCGUGUCGUGAGAUGUUGGGUUAAGUCCCGCAACGAGCGCAACCCUUGUUCACUGUUGCCAGCACGUUAUGGUGGGGACUCAGUGGAGACCGCCGGGGUCAACUCGGAGGAAGGUGGGGAUGACGUCAAGUCAUCAUGCCCCUUAUGUCCAGGGCUUCACGCAUGCUACAAUGGCUGGUACAGAGAGUGGCGAGCCUGUGAGGGUGAGCGAAUCUCGGAAAGCCGGUCUCAGUUCGGAUUGGGGUCUGCAACUCGACCUCAUGAAGUCGGAGUCGCUAGUAAUCGCAGAUCAGCAACGCUGCGGUGAAUACGUUCCCGGGGCUUGUACACACCGCCCGUCAAGUCAUGAAAGUUGGUAACACCCGAAGCCGGUGGCCUAACCGUUGUGGGGGAGCCGUCGAAGGUGGGACUGGUGAUUAGG